AACGAACGCUGGCGGCGUGGAUAAGACAUGCAAGUCGAGCGAUCAUUAGUUGGUAGCAAUAUCGGCUAGUGGGAGCGGCGCAAGGGUGCGUAACACGUGGGUAAUCUGCCAUGAAGUCUGGAAUAACUUGCUGAAAGGCGAGCUAAUACCGGAUGUGACAGCCUGGGGGCAUCUCCGGGUUGUCAAAGUUGGGGACCGUAAGGCCUGACGCUUCAUGAUGAGCCCGCGGCCUAUCAGCUAGUUGGUGAGGUAACGGCUCACCAAGGCUAAGACGGGUAGCUGGUCUGAGAGGAUGAUCAGCCACACUGGCACUGGAACACGGGCCAGACUCCUACGGGAGGCUG
RNAcentral lists this ribosomal RNA (344 nucleotides) under uncultured Verrucomicrobiota bacterium. Its description in RNAcentral is "bacterial SSU rRNA". It matches the Rfam family "Bacterial small subunit ribosomal RNA", at positions 29 to 351 of the family's 1533-position model. Lineage: Bacteria; Pseudomonadati; Verrucomicrobiota. The record is from RNAcentral.